AGCCACUCACUCACUCCCCCACCAGCAGGAUGGGGGAGAGAAUCAGAGAGGUAAAAGUGAAAAAACUCAUGGGUUUAGAUAAAGACACUUAAUUAAGGAAAGUAAAAGUCGCACGCACGAGCAAAGCAAAUGAAGGAGUUCACCACUUCCCAUGGGCAGGCAGGUGUUCAGCCAUCCCCAGGAAAGCAGGGCUACAUCAUCCACAACAGGGACUUGGAAAGACAAAAUCCAUCACUACAAACAUCCCUUAGCAAGAGUGCACAGUUGAAGUUUAUAUUUAUGGAAUAAAUAAAGGAAACAUGUUAUGUGUGCUUCCAGUAUCGAGAGAUUGAAGAUUAAUGCCUCCAAAAAGAUGAAAUCAGGAGGAUAAAAGCAUGAUGCUUUCAAAGAUAAUUCUACUGGUGGCAAUCAUGAUCGCUGGAUGAAAACAAAUAACUCAUUUUCAUUAUCAUGUGUCCUGAAAGGAAGCAAUAUUCACUGUGAAAGAAAAUAAUGAAAGAGGGGAAAUUAAAGGCUUUGAAAAAUUAACAUUGAUUUCAGAGUGCACCUGGACUUGUAUUUCCACUGUUUUGUCUUUGAACAUCAGCUCAUAUUCGGGGAUGUUUUGAUAGCAGACAAUACAGAAUUUAAUGCAAAAUAGACCAGACAACCCAAUCAAGGGCUUUUCUUAUGAGAACAAAAGUUUUUUAUACCUAAGUGUCCUUUUCACUUCUAGUUUUAAUCUCUUGUAAUAUGUAAAUUCAUAUGAUGGGUGGCAUUCGGGCUUUGGGAACUACUCAUUUUCCCAGGCAGUAGAAAAAAAAGCCACAAUUAAAAGCUGAAAUGAAAACCUUCCCUACUCCCAUUGCCAGUGUCCAAAGAUAAAGUAAGACAUAUCAAUUUUUUAGCCUCACAUAGCAACUGAAAAUAAUGUAUAUCAGAAAGAAAACUAAUUAAAUAGCAAAAGAGGUA
Corvus hawaiiensis (hawaiian crow) is the source of this 951-nucleotide long non-coding RNA. RefSeq lists it as uncharacterized. Lineage: Eukaryota; Metazoa; Chordata; Aves; Passeriformes; Corvidae. The transcript is spliced from 3 exons. The record is from RefSeq and is a predicted model, not a curated record.